RNAcentral lists this long non-coding RNA (19169 nucleotides) under Nicotiana tabacum (common tobacco). Its description in RNAcentral is "long non-coding RNA (NTAB_LNC007010)". Lineage: Eukaryota; Viridiplantae; Streptophyta; Magnoliopsida; Solanales; Solanaceae. The record is from RNAcentral.
AAAAGCUGACCUAAGGAUAUAAUCAGACGCUAUAACAAAAAAGAGAGGCGCCGUGUUUUGACAAAAAAAUCGUACCCUCUUCCCUUGACUUCAUCUUCUCCAAACGACCCCCUUUUCCUCAUCUCUGGCGGAGCCCACACCAGCGACCAGCAUCAACCCCUGUUUCGCCAAAAAUAAGCAGAAAAAGACCGUCCUUGUUUGCUAAAUCAAAGUGAAAUAGACCGGAAAACGUCCCCGACGAGGUCCCGGUUUGAAUUUCCGGUGUACGGUUAGAGGCUAAGAAGGAGGAACUUUGUACGCAAGAAAUGGAGGUAGUCCUCUCAUAUUCUUCUUAUUCUUGUCUUAGCAAACUCUAUAGUAUGCUUUAUCUAUCAUCCAAAAUAUGUACUUUGUCAUCUCUCCUUUUUUGUAAUUAUAUUUAAAUCUGAUUGACUUGGAUGACAACAACGUGCAUUAGUCUGUUGAUUUAUCUCUACAAAUUUAAGAGGGGUGGUAUUCAAUAGAACUAUGUUCAUUUUAUGUUCUACCUAAGCAGAAAUUCGAAAAGUUUCUUAUUUCGCGUAAGAACAUGCAAACCAUUUAUCCUAGAUAUAUGUAUUCAAGUUAUAUCUCAGUUCAAACGAGUGUAUUUCAGAAAUUGAGGCAACGAGAUUAAAUUAAAUUUUUUUAAUUACUAAAUUCGGGUAUGCAUUUCAUGUGACCCUACCAUAAUUUUUGAAUAAUGAUAAUAGAAAUUAUCAUGUUAUAAAUCCGGGUGUACAUUUCAUGUGACCCUGUUCUCAUUUCCAACAAGGUUAAAUAGAACGUGUCGUGAACCACGGGUGCAUUUCAUGUAGCGUGGCUUGCAAUGUGUUUUAAAUAACCUUGAAUUAAUCCUUUAAAUAAGUAAAAGCGGUUUUCAAAAGUUAAAAAUGUACAUAAGUUUAAAAGUGUUUUAAAAAUCAAAUAAAUAAGCCAAUAAUAAUAGUUGAGCGAUCGUGCUAGAACCAUGGAACCCGGGAAUGCCUAACACCUUCUCCCGAAUUAACAGAAUUCCUUACUCGGAUUUCUGUGGUCGCGGACUAUAAAACAGAGUCAAUCUUUCCUCGAUUUCGGAUUUGAACCGGUGACUUGGGACUCCAUAGACCAUCCCAAGUGGCGACUCUGAUUUUAAAUAAAAUAAUCCUGUUUCAAUUGUCACUUAAAUUGGAAAGAACUCCCUUAUACCGCCAUCGGGUGGUAAAAAGGAGGUAUGACAGCUCUGGCGACUCUGUUGGGGAGGAGAACCCAGAACUUUUGGUUCAAGGUUCAGAAUUAGAGCUUAGAAUAAUUGUUAUAGUUGGCUUUUAUUAUUAUAUGAUUUUUUACAUGUUUGAGCCUAAUGUGCUAAAUGCCGCUUUUUACCGCUUUGAUAUUUUUGAACUGUAUAUAAAUUGUUACGAAACCCUCUUCUCUCUAAGUCUUCUAAAUCAUCUAGGAAUUGUGCACUUUGUGUGACUUCUUUUCUGUUAGAGUCAUAUCCCAAUUUUAGAACGAGGUUCUGACAAGUUGCAAAGCAGGUAAAGCUUCUGUAUUUCCGGUACACUGCCCCCCUCGGCUCGACCGCUCGGGUAAGCCAGAUCUAGAACAAUACACCCAGGUUUUUAAACCUAGAAUAACAUAGCCUUAUGUCGGAUCCCUAGUAGCAAUGCUUAUUUGCAUCACGUGCAUUUGACUUUGCGGACUCAACACAGGGGUUGGAUCCGUCUAGGACAAGUGUACCCAAUUUAAAAGAACAUCCUGAUGCAUCUUACGUGCUACUUGCCUAUCUGUUUGUUUCGGCUUGCAUGUUGACUGGCUUCUAGAAUAGGGAAAGAAAAUGAAAAAAGAGAAAAUAAAGAGAAAAUAAAAAAAAAAAAAAAAGAAAAGAGAGUGAGAGGUAGGUAUUUGAAUUAUCCUAAAAUUCUGCCGAAAUUUUGAAAAAAAGAAGAGAAAAAGUCAUUUCAAAAUAAAUCAUGUUUUUCCUGUUCCAUCAAAACCGGUGAACUACGCGGGUCUGAUUCUCACCGGAUGUGAGAUACGUAGGCAAACCUCAUCGGUUCCGACCCCAUUUUUCAAAAAUUCAAAAAAAAUCCUUUAAUUCCUUCUUUAGAAGUCUUUCUUUAGAAAGUCCAAAUAAAAAAAGUUAACAAAAAAUAUUUUCUUUCAUUUUAGAAGUCUUUCAUUUGAAAAGAAAAUCAAAUCAAAAUCCAAAAAAAUAUUUUCUACGUUUUUUAGAAGUCUUUUUCCCAAAAAAUCAAAACAAUCAAAUCAAAAUCCAAAAAAAUAUUUUCUUUCUUCUUUAGAAGUCUUUCUUUCAAAAAUUUUGAAAAAAAAAAACAAAAUCAAAAAUAUAAAAAUAUUUUCAUUGAAAAGAAAUUCAAGAAUCAAAAAUAUUUUCUUUUUCUUUAGAAGUAGUUCUUUCAUAAAUUGAAAAUAAAAGUCCAAAAAUUCAAAAAUAUUUCUUUCCUUCUUUAAAAGUUUUUCUUUCGGAAAUUCCAAAAAAAAAGAGUCAAAAUUCAAUAUAUAUAUAUUUCUAAAUAAAUUUCAAAAUUCAAAAAGAGAGUCAAUUUAGUUACUUUAUUCCCGAUCUUCCCGAACUACGCAAGAUCUGAUUCAUGUUCCCACAUGUUACGUAGGCAACCCACAUCAAGUUCGAUCAACCAUUGAAAAGAAAAAUGAGAAUAAAUAAAAAAAAGAGGAAAAAGAAAAGAAAAAAGAAAAAAAAUCCAGUAUCUAAAACUGGGGCAGAGAUUUUAUUUUACUUUUGAAAGAGUCGAUUCCAAGAGAUGUAAGUCCACAACCCCUCAUUUUGAGUCUACUUUAAGCCUUCAUGCCGUCCCUUCUUUCCAACGCUAUCCAAAAUCCUUCCAAAUAAAGACCUCCCGAUAUGCCUUCAAGAAUGCUAAGAGAAGAAUUAUGCAAUGAGUAACAGUUGUCACACGACAUAGAACACUGUCAAGUUGCUCAAGAAAACAACAGAUUAAAAAAAGAGAAGAAGAAAAAUGAGAGAGUCUUACAAGUGAAAACCCUCAUAGGCACUAUAAGGCGACGGUAAGCAGAGAUGAAUAAAUGAGAGAGACUUGUUGGUGAAAAUCCCUCGGGGAACCACUAAUCGAAAGUGAGUCAUGAAGCGAUGCAAAGGAUUGGCACGAACAAGCCCGACUUCAAAGGUCAUAAGAAUGGCAAAAGGGAAGAUUGGAUUAAUUUGAUAGAUCAAGCCAUUGAGUCCAAAAUGCAUGUCAUGACCAUUAAGGCUAGUUAUUGAAAAAAAAAGGAAAAAAAACUCUUCCUUCUGUCCUUCCGACAGGGGCAUUUUUUGUUAAUAAUUGUCUCAUUGCAUCAUUGUGUCCUUCACUCCGAGUUCAAACAAGCAAGAAAAGAUUUCAAAAUCUACUACCAGUUUGUCAAUUGCACAAAGUAAAGUUGGCCAGCACACUCAGUUGUUACUUUUAACAUGCCUUGAGGAUUCAUGCAAAAGAUCCCCCCCUAAAAGACUCUUGUCAGCCUGCUUGGCGCAAACAAAGAUAACUUGUGAUUCUCUCUGGCAGACAAAUUGCUCAAAAGUAGGAAGUCAUUCAAGAUAUCAGAAAAGGUCACUUGAGCAAAGAUCUCCCGUUGGGAUAAGGCUGAUUGAACCACAAAUACAAAUGGUAAUGGGUUUGAAAAAAUCGGGGUUGAUGCAGAGUAAAAGUCUCUUGAAACCUACUCAAGCUGAUUGAGCAAAAGUCAAAGCUGUCCAAGGACUCAAGGCCACAACCGACUACCAUUUUCAAAACUGACAAAUUUUUCUUUGUGUGAAACAGGAACAAAGCAGUGCAAGAAAAGUUGUUAAAAAAAACAAAAAAAAGAGAAAAAAAAACAAAAAAAAGAAAGAAAAAAAGAGAAGAAAAAGAAAAGAAGAGAAGAGCCGACAAAAGGAAGUUUCUCAAAUCUUUACCUUUAUUUGUUUUGUUAAUGUGUAAAAAAUCUUGCCAUUGAUAUUCACAUUUUGCAUCCUAGGAUAAAAAGUCCUAGUCUGAUGGAUUUUUCUCCCAAUAGAAAUCUUAGUCUGAUGAAUUUUUCUCCUAAGAUAGAAGACCUAGUCUGAUGAACUUUCUCAUAGGAUAAAAAUCUUAGUCCGAUGAAUCUUUCUCAUAAGAUAAUAAAAAAAGGACCUAGUCUAAUGAACUUUCUCCUAGGAUCAAAAUCUUAGUCUGAUGAAUCUUUCUCCUAAGAUAGAAGACCUAGUCUGAUUAACUUUCUCCUAGGAUCAAAAUAUUAGUCCGAUGAAUCUUUCUCCUAAGAUAAUAAAAAAAGACUUAGUCUGAUGAACUUUCUCCUAGGAUCAAAAUCUUAGUCUGAUGAAUCUUUCUCCUAAGAUAGAAAACCUUGUCUGAUGAAUUUUCUCCUAGGAUCAAAGUCUUAGUCCGAUGAAUUUUUCUCCUAAGAUAGAAGACCUAGUCUGAUGAACUUUCUCCUAGGAUAGAAAUCUUAGUCUGAUGAAUCUUUCUCCUAAGAUAUAAAAAGAGAGACCUAAUCUGAUGAAUUUUCUCCUAUNNNNNNNNNNNNNNNNNUCNAAGUCUUAGUCUGAUGAAUUUUUCUCCUAAAAUAGAAGACCUAGUCUGAUGAACUUUCUCCUAGGAUAGAGAUCUUAGUCUGAUGAAUCUUUCUCCUAAGAUACAAAAAAAGAGACCUAAUCUAAUGAAUUUUCUCCUAUGAUCAAAGUCUUAGUCGGGUGAAUUUUGCUCCUAAGAUAGAAGACCUAGUCUGAUGAACUUUCUCCUAGGAUAGAAAUCUUAGUCUGAUGAAUCUUUCUUCUAAGAUACCAAAAAAAAGAGACCUAGUCUGAUGAAUUUUCUCCUAGAAUCAAAUCUUAGUCUAAUGAAUUUUUCUCCUAAGAUAGAAGACUUAGUCUGAUGAACUUUCUCCUUGGAUCAAAACCUUAGUCUGAUGAAUCUUUCUCUUAAGAUACCAAAAUAAAGUGACCUAGUCUGACGAAUUUUCUCCUAGGAUAAUUUGAAAAAAGAAGAAGUCUGGAUUUAAAAAAAAAGGGGUCAACCUUAGUUUCUUAAGCUAUCAAUGUUUAGUUUUCUUGAAAUCAGGGGUCCCACCUAAAGAAUGAGGUCAGUUUUUACUUUAGUCAAGCUUAGUUUAUAGUUUUCCGCAAGCUAAAUCACUUAUAGGAGACAUACAUCCUAGUCGAGUCAUUAAUUUUACUUUCAUCAUUGCAUAAGUGGUUUACAGUUUUGCUAACAACUCACAAAUCUUCCGAGUGCAAAUUGGGGCAGAAAAUUUUGUUGGUUUUGUUGUUUUGAUUGCAGGCACCCACUUGUAGAAUAAGGGAAGACAGUUCAAGAGUCAACGGAAAACGAGUCAAGUUUUGAGGGAAAAACAGUACAAGUGUUGGAAAUCAGGAGUCCACCUGGAGAAUAAAGGGAAAGUAGCAAUAUUCAAGGGAAGAAAGUUCAAAAGAAAAAGCAGUUUCAAGAAGAGGACAAUUCAGGUUCAGCAAUCAGGCACCCACUUGGAGAAACAAGGGAAAACAACACGAGUUUCAAGAGUAGAAAGUAGUUCAGGUUCAAGCAAUCAGGCACACAUAUGGAGAAACAAGGGAAGACGAUUCCAAGAAAAAGCGGUCUUAAGAGAAAGCAGUUCAGGUUCAACAAUCAGGAGCCCAUUUGAAGAACAAAGUGAAAAACAGUACAAGUGUUGGAAAUUGGAGCCCACCAAGAGAACAAAGGGAAAGCAAUUCAAGUGUUGGUAAUCAGGAGCCCACCUGGAGAACAAAGGGAAGUAGUUCAAGUUUCGAGGAAAAAAAGUUCAAGUGUUGGAAAUCAGGCGCCUGUCUGGAGAACAAGGGAAGUCAUUUUAGAAUCCGAUUCAAGUUAGAAGUAGCAGAAGCUCGUCUCAAAAAUGCGGGUUGACAGGGGUCCGAGAUAACAAAAAAGAAGUCUCAAUCAAGAAUAAAAGGAAAAAAAGUGAAUCCAAAGUGCAGAAGUGGAGAAAAGAUGUGGUCUGCUCAAGACAUAAUUGAAGUCACAAGCUCUGCAUGUCCCGUCUUGAUCUGAAAAGCUGAAGAAGAUUGAACUAACACAUGUAGCUAACAAGCAUCAAGAUUCACAUCAGAGUCCGCAUGAAUAACCAACCAAGACUCAAGAUCAAGCUUCAGAAGACUCAUAGAUAGGAAUCUUGUAAUUCGUUGCUGAUAGGCUUAGUUAGUCUUUUUUAUUUUUUGAUUUUGAUGUAAUAACGGGAUCGCGGACCGGAACCUCGACGACACCCCAAUCGGCUCUCCACCUCGGUACUCUAUCACCUCAUUCACUUCUGAACUACACGUGGCCUGAUUCCUUUAUAGCCAAGGAUAUGUAGGCAGCUCAGAUACUAGGGCUCGGUCACAUUCUCCUUUCUUUUUGUAUUGGUCUCUCCAAAUAAGGGUCGGGUCAAAAUACCUGUCUCGUCGUUCUUUGUCUGAAAACUCUUCGCGUUUCCAGUCAAAGAGGGGCAGCUGUAGACAUGUGAUUUUUGACUCUCCCCAAGAUUUUUUAUAUUUUAAUAUGUAAAUAUUUAGUUUAGGCCUAAUAUCUUUAUUUAAACUAAUUUUGACUCUUUUACUUUAUUUUAUNNNNNNNNNNNNUAAUCUUGAAAAAUGCCAAAAAAUAAUUUUAUUUUAACGGUCAGUCUUAUUUUAACAAUUAUUUUACUUAAGUAGGACUAAUUAAUAAAUGAGAUCGUAUUUUAGUCUUGUUCGCGGGGAAAGAAUAAAUUUGGGUUCAAGCGACCCAUUUUUAAGUGUAAUUUUCGAACCUUCCCAAGACCAUAAUACCUAGGCCCAUACCCCUAAACUAAUUCCUACCCCCAUAUAAUAGUACUUAAUGCCUAAAUAAGGCCGUACGCCAAAAACAACCCAAUCCGCUGUUUGUCUUCAUAAAUCAAAAGAAAAGACAAAAAAGAUGACAAUAAGAAAAGGACCAAAAAGCUGACCUAGGGAUACAAUCAAACGCUAUAACCAAAAAGAGAGGAGCCAUCUUUUGACAAAAAAAUCGUACCCCCACCCCCUGACUUCAUCUUCUCCAAACGACCCCCCUUUUCCUCUUCUCCGGCGGAGCCCACACCAGCGACCAACAGCAGCCCCUAUUUCGCCAAAAAAUAAGCAGAAAUAGACCGGAAAAAGUCCCCGACGAGGUCCCGGUUCAAGUUUCCGGCGUACGGUCAGAGGCUAAGGAGGAACUUCGUAGGCAAGAAGUGGAGGUAGUCCUCUCAUAUUCUUCUUAUUCUCGUCUUAGCAAACUCUAUAGUAUGCUUUAUCUAUCAUCCAAAAUAUGUACUUUGUCAUCUCUCAUUUAUUGUGUUUUAAAUUCUAUUUAAAUCUGAUUACCUUAGAUGACGACAACGUGCAUUAGUCUGUUAAUUUAUCUAUACAAAUUUAAGAGGGGUGGUAUUCAAUAGAACUAUGUUCAUUUUAUGUUCUACCUAAGCAGAAAUUCGAAAAGUUUCUUAUUUCGCGUAAGAACAUACAAACCAUUUAUCCUAGAUAUAUGUGUUCAAGUUAUAUCUCAGUUCAAAUGGGUGUAUUUCAGAAAUUGAGGCAAUGCGAUUAAAUUGAUUUUUUUAAUUACCAAAUUCGGGUGUGCAUUUCAUGUGACCCUACCAUAAUUUUGAAUAAUGAUAGUAGAAAUUAUCAUGUUAUAAAUCCGGGUGUACAUUUUAUGUGACCCGGCUCUCAUUUCCAACAAGGUUAAAUAGAACGUGUCGUGAACCACGGGUGCAUUUCAUGUAGCGUGGCUUGCGAUGUGUUUUGAAUAACCUUGAAUUAAUCCUUUAAAUAAUUAAAGCGAUUUUCAAAAGUUAAAAAUGCACAUAGGUUUAAAACUAUUUUAAAAAUCAAAUAAAUAGGCCAAUAAUAAUAGUUGAGCGACCGUGCUAGAACCACUGAAUCCGGAAAUGCCUAACACCUUCUCCCGGGUUAACAUAAUUCCUUACCCGGAUUUCUGUGUUUGCGGACUAUAAAACAGAGUCAAUCUUUUCUCAAUUCGGGAUUUGAACUGGUGACUUGGGACACCAUAAACCAUCCCAAGUGGCGACUCUGAUUUUAAAUAAAAUAAUCCCGUUUCGAUUGUUACUUAAAUUGGAAAGAACUCCCUUAUGCCGCCCUCGGGCGGUAAAAACAGGUGUGACACUUUUGAUACGAAUGAACAUGUGGGGGAAUAAGGAUUUCAUUGAUGUAAAUUUUGUCAGAUUCCGAGACGUGGGCUCGGGGGUCGGGUUUGGUAAAUUUUGGGAUUUGUUUUGUAAUUUGGUUACUUUCGAGUGGGCUUUGUUCCCUUAGCAUAUUUUGAUGAUUAUAUACUGAUUUUGGUUAGAUUUUGGGUCAUCACCUGUUUUUAAAAUGAAUUCUAUGUUCUGAGGCCUUAACCUCUUUUUGUCUCACAUCGAUUUGCGUGCACAGUCGGGACACGUAGCCGGAAAGCUAAUAUGUGAAAAUCUGUGGAAAAUGGUAAAUUUUGAUUAUAAAAUGAAUUAGGUUGACUUCGGUCAAUAUUUUGGGUAAAUGGACCGAACCCAUGAUUUGACGGUCCUGGAGGGUCCGUAGGAAAAUAUGGGACUUGGGCGUAUGCCCGAAAUCGAAUUCCGAGGUCUCAAGCCCGAGAAAUAAAUUUUUAAAGAAAAUUGUUUUUCUGAAUAUAUUUAUGAGAUUUAGAAAUGAAUUGUUAUUAGAACUUGAUGGUAUCGGGCCCGUAUUUUGGUUCCGGCAGGUCUUAUAUUUGAUUUAAGAUAAGUCUGUGAAAUUUGGUAAGAAAUGGACUUGAAACGACGUGAAUCGGAUCAUUUUUUAGAAAACUGGAAAUUUGAAGUUCUUAAGAAAAUUUCAUGAUUUUGAUGCUAAAUUCCUAGUUGUUGAUGUUAUCUUAGUGAUUUGAAUGCACGAGCAAGUCCGUAUGAUAUUUUUAGAUUGGUGUGCAUGUUUGGUUGAGAGCCCCGAGGGCUCGGGUGAGUUUUGGAUAGGCCACAAAGUGAAAUUUUAACUUAGGAAAUUGCUGGUAUGCUUCAGGCCUACAGGCUUCGCAUCUCGCAAAUGCGAGCAAUGUAUCGCAAAUGCGAUAGGUGGCCUGGGUUGCCUUCUUCGCAAAUGCGAACUGUCUAUUGCAAAUGCGACGUCUGCCUGGAAUCCCCCUUAGUCACAAAUGCGAGACCUCAGUCGCACAUGCGACUUCACAAAUGCGACACUGCUUUCGCAAAUGCGAACAUAGCAGAGGUCGGGGUUCGCAAUUCCCAUAUCUGCAACCUGUAAUUUUUAUACUUAGCCGAAAAUCAACCAUUUUUCACACUCUUUCAAAACCAAAACACUCUCGGGCGAUUUUUCAAAGACAACUCUUCUUCCAAAUCGAUUGUAAGUCAAUUUCAACUCUUUUUCUUCAAUCAUUAACAUCUUUUAACAUGAUUUCAACUCAAAAUCAAUGAUUUUCAUGGGGGAAAUAGAGUGUAUUGGGUAGAACCUAGGUUUUUCAAAAAUUGAGGAUUUGGACCUCGAUUUGAGGUCCGAUUUCAAACAAAUUAUAUAUUUGGGUUUGUGGGAAAAUGGGUAAUCGAGUUUUUGUUCGAACCUCGGGUUUUGACCAUGUGGGCCUGGGGGCAAUUUUUGACGUUUUGGGUAAAAAUUUCGAAAACUCAUUUUUAUGCAUUGGGGUUGAUUCAUUUAGCGUUUAUUGAUGUAAUUAAGUAACUUGUGGCUAUAUACGAGCAAAUUAGUGGUGGAAUCAAAGGGUAAAGCAAUAAUUGAGACGUGAAUUGUGACGUGAAUUGUGUUCGUGGCAUCGAUGUAAGUGUUUGGUUUAACCUGAGCUUGAGGGAUUAGGAGUUGUGUCCUAUUUGCUACUUGUUUCUUAUUGAGUACGAUGUAUAGGCAUGGUGACGAGUAUCUAUACAUUGGUGUCGAGCAUGAUCGUGAGCCUUAAAUUGUGAUUUAUUGUGUUCUUGAAUAAUACUACGGAUGCUUAAAUUGAUUAUUCUCUGUAUUGAGCAAGGAUUAUGAUUGUUCUCGUGGAAUUACUUAUGAUUGAGUAUUGGUGUUAGCUGAAGUAGUUAGAUGUUGGAACAAGUUUGGUUAUAGCUAUUUCUCCCUUGCCGGGAUGUAUUUAUUGAUACUGUCGAUUCCCUUGCCGGAAUAGUGUAGUUCUUUAUUGAUACCUUGCCGGGACUCUUGUUAUGAUUGUUGUUGAUUAUAUAUGUGGAUCGGGUUGCACGCCGCAAUAAUAUUAUAUGUGGAUCGGGUUACACGCCGCAACAAUAUUAUAUGUGGAUGGUUGCACGUCGCAACAAUGAUAUAUGUGGAUCGGGUUACACGUCGCAACAAUGAUAUAUGUGGAUCGGGUUGCACGCCGUAAUAGUGUUGUUAUAUUUUGGGAUCGGGUUGCGUGCCGCAACAAUUAUUGAUACAAAGUGUUUAUAGAUUGGAUACAAGUUUCUUAUUGUUUUGCCGUGAAUUCUAAGCUAUCAUUAUGCCGUUACUCUUGAUUUACUGUUGAUAUUGAUACACCCCUCGCAGCAUGUACCCUCAUCCCAUCUUUACUUGUUUAUUCCUGCUUCAUUUUAUGCAGUAUAUUAUAUAACUGCACAGGUUCAUUUGGUAGUCUGGUCAUUGCCUCGUCACUACUUCGCCGAGGUUAGGCUAGGCACUUACCAACACAUGGGGUCGGUUGUGCUGAUACUACACUCUGCACUAUGUGCAGAUCCCGGAGCAGCUCUUGGACCAUAGCAUUUGGGUGGCUACCUUCAGUCCACGCAGAGAUCCAAGGUAGACCUGUAGGCGUCCGCAGGCCCUGGCGUCUCCUCUAUCCUUUAUUUCCUGUUUCAUUUCUUUGAUUUAGAAACAGCGUAUCUUUAUUUUCAGACUUUAUAUUUAGCACUCUUAGAUCAUCUGUGGUACUGUGACACCAGUUCUGGGUGAUUAAGGCUUAAAUAGUUGUAUUAGAUUCAUAUUUCACAUAUUUUACUACAUUUCUUCCGCUUAAUGAAAUUUUCGUUGUUUUUCACAUUAUUGCUUUAUAAAUGCUAAAAGGGUAUAAAAAUGGAUAAAGGUAAUUUGUUCAAUAAUUGGCUUGCCUAGCUCACAUUAGUAGGCACCAUCACGACUCCCGAGGGUGGGAAAUCCGGGUCAUGACAAGUUGGUAUCAGAGCUCUAGGUUACUUGGGUCUCACAGUUCACAGACAAGCUUAGUAAAUCUGAGGGAUCGGUAUAGAGACGUCUGUAUUUAUCCCUAGAGGCUACAUAGUUAGGAAAAACUUCACAUUUAUUCCUUCCUGUCAUGCGGUUUGGUUUCUCAAUGCUAAUUGAAUUUCUACUCUGUUUUUUCGUAAAUGGCGAGAACACGCGCUUCCUCAUCCACUGACCAGCAGCCCGAGCCCCCAGCAGCAACUCCCACGAGGGGCAGAGGGCGAGGCCGAGGCCGUGCUAGAGGCCUAGGUAGGGACAGAGCUCAGCCCAAAGCAGCAGCAUCAGCAGUAGAUCCUCAGGUUGAUUUUGAUGUUUAAGUUCUAGCCCCAGCAGUUCCGGUGGGCCCAGCUCAGGUCCCAUAGGGGUUUAUUGCUACCCCAGUACUCUAGGAUGCUCUGGUCCGUCUAGUGGACCUUAUGGAGAGUGUCACCCGGGCAGACUUGCUUCCUAUAGCACCAGCCAUCUCUUAGGCUGGAAGAGGAGCCCAGACUCCUGCUACUCGCACUUUGGAGCAGGUAGCUCCCCAGUUUCAGACUCCAACAGUUCAGCCAGUUGGAGCAGUUCAGACAGGUGUGGUAGCUCAGAUCGGUGAUGGAGCAUCUAUGUCUGCUGAUGCUUUGUAGAGAUUGGACAGGUUCACCAAGCUCUUCACAACUACCUUCAGCGGUGCAUCUUCUAAGGAUCCCCAGGAUUAUCUAGACAGCUGUCAUGAGGUUCUCAGGAUCAUGGGGAUAGUAGAGACCAAUAGGGUCGAUUUUUGUACCUUUUGCUUGUCGGGAUCCGCAAAGACUUGGUGGAGAGACUAUUGUUUGGAUAGACUAUCUGGAUUACCAGCCUUGACUUGGGAGAAAUUUACUCAGCUAUUUCUGGAGAAGUUUCUCCCCAUCACUCAGAGAGAAACCUAUCGGAGGCAGUUUGAGCGUCUUCAGUAGGGUUCUGUGACUGUUACCUAGUAUGAGACCAGAUUCAUCGACUUGGCUCAUCAUGCUCUUAUCAUACUUCCCACCGAGAGAGAGAGGGAUCUUCAGAUGGCUAGGGAGGCUGGGAGUGAGAUAUCUUUCCAGGAGGUAGCCAAUGUGGCCCGGAGAGUUGAGAUGGUUCUAUCGCAGGGAGAUGGUCAUGGGUCGGACAAGAGGCCCCGUCAUUCAGGCAGAUCCACUCUGGAGCCAGGGAUUCAUAUGGUAGAGGCCAUCCUCCUAGGCCCUUUCAGUCAACACUUCAGGUUUCUCACGGUGCUUUGGGUGGCCGUAGUUCUCAUAUGCAGUAUUCUGAUCAGCAGUCCUACAGUGCACCACCAACUCCUAUCAGUACACCGACGCUCAAGAGUUUUUGGGGUGGUCAUUAAUGUCGCCAGGGUCAGUCUUAGUUUCCUCUACUGUAGCAUUCAGGUGGAUGUUUUAAGUGUGAUAAGUAUGGUCAUAUCAGGAGGGCUUGUCCUAGAUUGGUAGGUACUCAGUCGCAGCGGUAUGGUUCCCGUGUUAUGGUUCAGGCACCAGGUGUUCCACAACCCGCCCAGCCAGCUAGAGGUGGGGGUAAAGGUGCUAGAGAUAGAGGUAGAGGUCAGACCGCUAGAGGUGGAGGCCAACCAGCUGCAGGCCGUCCCAAAGAUGUAGUCCAGGGUGGUGGGGCCCAACCCCGAGGGUAUGCUCUUCCAGCUAGGCUUGAGGCUGAGGCUUCCGAUGUAGUUAUCAUAGGUAUUGUUCUAGUUUGUGGCCGAGAUUCUUCAGUUUAUUUAAUCCAGGGUCUAUAUACUCCUAUGUGUCAUCUUAUUUUGCACCGUAUCUGGUCAUGCCUAGUCAUUCCUUUAGUGCCUCUAUUGUGGUAGAUCGAGUCCAUCGCUUUUGCAUAGUUGUGAUUAGGGGUCUUGAGACUCGUGUAGAUUUGUUUCUUCUGGACAUGGUUGAUUUCGAUGUCAUAUUGGGGAUGGACUGGUUAUCACCUUACCACGCUAUCUUGGACUAUUAUGCCAAGACUAUGACCUUAGCCUUGCCGGAUUUACCUCGUUUGGAGUGGAAAGGGACUCCUGGUCAUUCUACCCGUAGUGUCAUCUCUUAUGUGAAGGCUCGACGUAUGGUCGAGAAGGGGUGUUUGGCCUAUUUGGCAUAUGUUUGUGAUUCUAGUGCCGAGGUUCCUUCCAUUGAUUCUGGGCCUGUUGCUUGUAAGUUCCCUAAGGUAUUUCCUUCAGACCUGCCAGGUAUGCCACCUGAUAGGGAUAUUGACUUUUGCAUUGAUUUGGCUCCGGGCACUCAACCCAUUUUUAUUCCACCGUAUUAUAUGGCCCCGCCUGAGUUGAAAGAGUUGAAGGAGCAGUUACAAGACUUGCUUGAGAAGGGUUUCAUUAGACCGAGUGUUUCACCUUGGGGUGUGCCAGUGUUGUUUGUUAAGAAGAAGGACAGAUCAAUGAGAAUGUGUAUCGAUUACCGGCAAUUGAACAAGGUUACAAUCAAGAAUAAGUAUCCAUUGCCGAGGAUUAAUGAUUUGUUUGAUCAGCUUCAGGGUGCCAAGGUAUUCUCGAAGAUUGACUUGAGAUCUGUCUACCAUCAGUUGAGGAUUAAGGCAUCCGAUGUCCCUAAGACAGCUUUCCACACUCAGUACGGGCAUUAUGAGUUCCUGGUGAUGUCAUUCGGGUUGACAAAUGCCCCAACAGCUUUUAUGGAUUUGAUGAACUGAGUGUUCAGGCCUUACAUGGGUUCAUUCGUGAUAGUCUUCAUUGAUGAUAUUUUGAUAUAUUCCCGCAAUCGGGAGGUACACAAGCAUCAUCUUAGAGUGGUUCUUCAGACUUUAAGGGAUAGUCAGUUGUAUGCCAAGUUUUUAAAAUGUGAGUUCUGGUUGAGUUCAGUUGCAUUCCUGGGUCAUGUUGUAUCUGCAGAGGGUAUUCAGGUUGAUCCGAAGAAGAUUGAGGUAGUCAAGAACUAGCCUAGACCAGCAUCAGCUACAGAGAUUCGGAGUUUCUUGGGAUUGACAGGAUAAUACCGUCGGUUUGUGGAGGGGUUUUCAUCUAUCGCAGCCCCGAUGACUACGUUGACCUAGAAGGGUGACUAGUUCAGAUGGUCGGACGAGUGUGAGGAGAGCUUUUAGAAGCUCAAGACAGCUCUGACUAUGGCACCGGUGUUGGUUUUACCCAUAGGUUUAGGGCCUUAUACAGUUUAUUGUGAUGCAUCUCGUAUUGGACUUGGUGCGGUGUUGAUGCAGGAUGGCAAGGUCAUUGUCUAUUCUUCGCGGCAGUUGAAGAUUCAUGAGAAGAAGUAUCCAGUUCAUGAUUUGGAGUUGGCAGCCAUUUUUCACUCGUUGAAGAUCUGGAGGCAUUAUCUGUAUGGCAUGGCAUGUGAGGUGUUCACGAUCACAAGAGUCUGCAGUAUUNNNNNNNNNNNNNNNNNNNNNNNNNNNNNNNNNNNNNNNNNNNNNNNNNNNNNNNNNNNNNNNNNNNNNNNNNNNNNNNNNNNNNNNNNNNNNNNNNNNNNNNNNNNNNNNNNNNNNNNNNNNNNNNNNNNNNNNNNNNNNNNNNNNNNNNNNNNNNNNNNNNNNNNNNNNNNNNNNNNNNNNNNNNNNNNNNNNNNNNNNNNNNNNNNNNNNNNNNNNNNNNNNNNNNNNNNNNNNNNNNNNNNNNNNNNNNNNNNNNNNNNNNNNNNNNNNNNNNNNNNNNNNNNNNNNNNNNNNNNNNNNNNNNNNNNNNNNNNNNNNNNNNNNNNNNNNNNNNNNNNNNNNNNNNNNNNNNNNNNNNNNNNNNNNNNNNNNNNNNNNNNNNNNNNNNNNNNNNNNNNNNNNNNNNNNNNNNNAUGUGGUGGCCGACGCUUUGAGUAGGAAGUCAGCCAGUAUGGGCAGUCUUGCUUUGGAUGUUCAGGCUUUGGCCAAUCAGUUCCUGAGGUUGGAUGUUUCUGAGCCCAGUCGUGUGUUAGCUUGCACGGUCGCUCGUUCCUCUUUAUUGGAGCGUAUCCAUGAUCAGCAGUAUGAUGAUCCCUAUUUGUGUGUCCUUAGAUACACGGUGCAGCACGGAGGAGCCAAGCAGGUUACUUUAGGUGAUGAUGGAGUUUUGAGAUUGCAGGGUCGAAUUUGCGUGCCUAAUGUAGAUAGGCUCUGAGAGUUGAUUUUAAAGGAGGCCCAUAGUUCCCGAUACUCUAUUCAUCUGGGCACUGCUAAGAUGUAUCAGGAUUUGCGGCAACAUUAUUAGUGGAGAAGAAUGAAGAAGGAUAUCGUUGCAUAUGUGGCUUGGUAUUUGAACUGUCAGCAGGUUAAGUACGAGCAUCAGAGGCCUAGUGGUUUAUUUCAGAGGAUUGAGCUUCCCGAGUGGAAGUGGGAGCGGAUCACUAUGGACUUUGUUGUUGGACUCCCAUGGACUCAGAGGAAGUUCGAUGCAGUGUGGGUUAUUGUUGAUAGGCUAACUAAGUCAGCACAUUUCAUUCCUGUGGAAGUCUCCUAUUUUUUCGAGAGGUUAGGUAAGAUCUAUAUCCGGGAGAUUGUUUGUCUUCAUGGUGUGCCCGAGUCUAUCAUUUCGGACCGAGGUACGCAAUUUACCUCGCAUUUUGGAGAGCAGUUCAGCGAGAGUUGGGCACACCGGUUGAGUUGAGCACAACAUUUCAUCUUCAAACGGAUGGGCAGUCCGAGCGGUAUGGUAGGCUCGUGGGAUCAGUUUUUGCCUUUAGCGGAGUUUGCCUACAACAACAGCUACCCAUCGAGUAUCUAGAUGGCUCCUUAUGAGGCUUUGUAUGGUAGGCGAUGACGGUCGCCAGUUGGAUGGUUUGAGCUGCAAAAGGUCCGGUUGUUGGGUACAGAUCUGGUUUAGGAUGUCUUGGACAAGGUCAGGAUUAUUCAGGAUAGGCUUCGUAUAGCUUAGUCCAAGAAAAAGAGUUAUGCCGACUGUACAGUUCGUGAUUUGGCAUUCAUGGUUGGUGAGCGGGUAUUGCUUCGAGUGUCGCCUAUGAAGGGCGUGAUGAGAUUUGGGAAGAAGGGCAAGCUUAGCCCUAGGUUCAUUGGCCCGUUUGAGAUUCUUGAUCGAGUGGGAGAGGUGGCUUAUAGACUUGCGUUGCCACCGGGCUUAUCAGCCGUGCAUCCAGUGUUUCAUGUGUCCAUGCUUAGGAAAUAUCACGGCGAUCCAUCCCACGUGUUAGAUUUCUGCACUGCCCAGUUAGACAAGGACUUGUCUUAUGAGGAGGAGCCGAUAGCUAUUAUGGACCGGCAGGUUUGUCAGUUGAGAUCGAAAAGUUUUCCUUCUGUUCGUGUUCAGUGGAGAGGUCAGCCUACUUAGGCAUCGACCUGGGAGUCCGAGUCCGAUAUGCGGAGCCAUUAUCCCUAUCUUUUUCCCGACUCAUGUACUUCCUUCAUCUGUCCAUUCGAGGACGACCAGUUGUUUUAGAGGGGGAGAAUGUGAUGACCUUGGGUCAUCACCUGUUUUUAAAAUGAAUUCUGCGUUUCGAGGCAUUAAAAACCUCUUUCUGUCUCACAUCGAUUUGCGUAUGUAGUCCGGGUGCAUAGCCAGAAAGUUAAUAUGUGAAAAUCUGUGAAAAUGGUAAAUUUUGAUUAUAAAAUGAAUUAAGUUGACUUCGAUUAAUAGUUUGGGUAAGUGGACUCAGACCCAUGAUUUGACGGUCCCGGAGGGUCCGUAGGAAAAUAUGGGACUUGGGCGUAUGCCCGGAAUCGAAUUCUGAGGUCCCAAGUCUGAGAAAUGAAUUUUUAAAGAAAGUUAUUUUCUGAAAUUAUUUAGGAGAUUUGGAAAUGAAUUGUGAUUAGAACUCGAUUGUAUCGGGCCGGUAUUUUGGUUCCGGUGCCCGGUACAGGUCUUAUAUGUGAUUUAAGAUAAGUGUGUAAAAUUUAGUGAGAAACGGACUUGAAACGACGUGAAUCGGAUCAUUUUUGAGAAAAUUAGAAAUUUGAAGUUCUUAAGAAAAUUUUAUGAUUUUGAUGCUAAAUUCCUAGUUGUUGAUGUUAUCUUAGUGAUUUGAAUGCACGAUCAAGUCCGUAUGAUGUUUUUAGGUUGGUGUGCACGUUUGGUUGGGAGCCCCGGGGGAUCGGGUGAGUUUUGGAUAGGCCACAGAGUGAAAUUUUAACUUAGGGAAUUAUGUAUGCUUCAGGCCUGCAGGCUUCGCAUUGCGAAGCCUGUCUCGCAAAUGCGAGCAAUGUAUCGCAAAUGCGAGAAGUGGCAUGGGCUGCCUUCUUCCCAAAUGCGAAGAGUCUGUCGCAAAUGCCACAUCUGCCUGGAAUCCCCCUUAGUCACAAAUGCGAACAUAGCAAAGGCCGGGGUUCGCAAUUCCCAUAUCUACAACCUGCAAAUUUUAUAGUUAGCCAAAAAUCAACCAUUUUUCACACUCUUUUAAAACCAAAACACUCUUGGGCAAUUUUCAAAAACAACUCUUCUUCCAAAGUCGAUUGUAAGUCAAUUUUAACUCGUUUUCUUCAAUCAUUAAUAUCUUUUCACAUGAUUUCAACUCAAGAUCAAUGAUUUUCAUGGGGGAAAUUGGGUAUUUUGGGUAGCACAUAGGUUUUUCAAGAAUUGAGGAUUUGGACCUCGAUUUGAGGUCCGAUUUCAAACAAAUUAUAUAUUUCGGUUCGUGGGAAAAUGGGUAAUCGGGUUUUGGUUUGAAUCUCGGGUUUUUUUACCAUGUGGGCCCAGGGGCAAUUUUUAACUUUUUGGGUAAAACUUUGGAAAACUCAUUUUUAUGCAUCGGGGUUGAUUCAUUUAUUGUUUAUUGAUGUAAUUAAGUAACUUGUGGCUAGAAUUGGUGGUGGAAUCAAGGUGUAAACGAUAAUUGAGACGUGAAUUGUGUUCGUGACAUCGAGGUAAGUGUUUAGUUUAACCUUUGCUUGAGGGAUUAGAAGUUGUUUCCUAUUUGCUACUUGUUUCUUGUUGAGUACGACACAUAGGCAUGGUGACGAGUAUCUAUACAUUGGUGUCGAGCAUGACCGUGAGUCUUAAAUUGUGAUUUACUUUGUUCUUGAAUAAUACUACGGAUGCUUAAAUUGAUGAUUCUCUGUAUUAAGCAAGGAUUAUGAUUGUUCUCGUGGAAUUACUUAUGAUUGAGUAUUGGUGUUAACUGAGGUAGUUAGAUAUUGGAACAAGUUUGGUUAUAGCUAUUUCUCCCUUGCCGGGACGUAUUUACUGAUUUUGUCGAUUCCCUUACCAGGAUAGUGUAGUUCUUUAUUGAUCCCUUGCCAAGACUCUUGUUAUGAUUGUUGUUGAUUAUAUAUGUGGAUCGGGUUACACGGCGCAACAAUAUUAUAUGUGGAUCGGGUUGCACGCCACAACAAUGAUAUAUGUGGAUCGGGUUGCAUGCUGCAACAAUGAUAUAUGUGGAUCGGGUUGCACAUUGCAACGGUGAUAAAUGAUAUGGAUCAGGUUGCACGCCGCAAUAGUGUUGUUAUAUAUUGGGAUCGGGUUGCGUGGCACAACAAUUGUUGAUACAAAGUGUUUAUAGAUUGGAUACAAGUUUCUUAUUGUUUUGUCGUGAAUUCUAAGCUAUCCUUAUGCCAUUACUCUUGAUUUAUUGUUGAUAUUGAUACACCCCCGCAACAUGUACCACCCUCCCAUCUUUACUUGAUUAUUCUUGUUUCAUUUUCCAUUGUAUAUUAUAUAACUGCACAGGUUCAUUUGGUAGUCUGGUCCUAGCCUCGUCACUACUUCGUCGAGGUUAGGCUAGGCACUUACCAACACAUGAGGUCGGUUGUGCUGAUACUACACUCUGCACUAUGUGCAGAUCCUGGAGCAACUCUUGGACCAUAGCAUUUGGGUGGCUACCUUCAGUCCACACGGAGAUCCAAGGUAGACCUGUAGGCGUUCGCAGGCCCUGGCGUCUCUUCUAUCGUUUAUUUCCUGUUUUAUUUCUUUGAUUCGGAAAUAGUGUAUCUUUAUUUUAAGGCUUUGUAUUUAGCACUCUUAGAUCGUCUGUGGUACUAUGACACCAGUUCUGGGUGAUUAAGGCUUAAAGAGUUGUAUUAUAUUCAUAUUUUAGAUAUUUUACUACAUUUCUUCUACUUAAUGAAAUUUCCG